RNAcentral lists this ribosomal RNA (522 nucleotides) under uncultured bacterium. RNAcentral describes it as "bacterial SSU rRNA". It matches the Rfam family "Bacterial small subunit ribosomal RNA", at positions 94 to 685 of the family's 1533-position model. The record is from RNAcentral.
AGUGGCAAACGGGUGAGUAACACGUAAACAACCUGCCUUCAGGAUGGGGACAACAGACGGAAACGACUGCUAAUACCGAAUACCUGAAGAGGGGUUUGCGUCUGAUUAGGUAGUUGGUGAGGUAACGGCCCACCAAGCCGACGAUCAGUAGCCGGUCUGAGAGGAUGAACGGCCACACUGGAACUGAGACACGGUCCAGACUCCUACGGGAGGCAGCAGUGGGGAAUCUUCCGCAAUGGGCGAAAGCCUGACGGAGCAACGCCGCGUGAGUGAUGACGGUCUUCGGGUUGUAAAGCUCUGUGAUCGGGGACGCGGUACCCGAAUAGCAAGCCACGGCUAACUACGUGCCAGCAGCCGCGGUAAUACGUAGGUGGCAAGCGUUGUCCGGAAUUAUUGGGCGUAAAGCGCGCGCAGGCGGUUCUUAAGUCCAUCUUAAAAGUGCGGGGCUUAACCCCGUGAUGGGAUGGAAACUGAGAGCUGGAGUAUCGGAGAGGAAAGUGGAAUUCCUAGUGUAGCGGUGAA